RNAcentral lists this transfer RNA (79 nucleotides) under Promicromonospora citrea. RNAcentral describes it as "tRNA-Arg". It matches the Rfam family "tRNA". From Rfam's summary of the family: Transfer RNA (tRNA) molecules are approximately 80 nucleotides in length. Their secondary structure includes four short double-helical elements and three loops (D, anti-codon, and T loops). Further hydrogen bonds mediate the characteristic L-shaped molecular structure. tRNAs have two regions of fundamental functional importance: the anti-codon, which is responsible for specific mRNA codon recognition, and the 3' end, to which the tRNAs corresponding amino acid is attached (by aminoacyl-tRNA synthetases). tRNAs cope with the degeneracy of the genetic code in two manners: having more than one tRNA (with a specific anti-codon) for a particular amino acid; and 'wobble' base-pairing, i.e. permitting non-standard base-pairing at the 3rd anti-codon position. The record is from RNAcentral. Lineage: Bacteria; Bacillati; Actinomycetota; Actinomycetes; Micrococcales; Promicromonosporaceae.
UGCCUCCGUAGCUCAGCUGGAUAGAGCGGGUCACUUCUAAUGACUAGGUCGCGGGUUCGAAUCCUGCCGGGGGCACCCA